UGGGGAAUAUUGCACAAUGGGCGCAAGCCUGAUGCAGCCAUGCCGCGUGUGUGAAGAAGGCCUUCGGGUUGUAAAGCACUUUCAGCGAGGAGGAAGGUGGUGAGCUUAAUACGCUCAUCAAUUGACGUUACUCGCAGAAGAAGCACCGGCUAACUCCGUGCCAGCAGCCGCGGUAAUACGGAGGGUGCAAGCGUUAAUCGGAAUUACUGGGCGUAAAGCGCACGCAGGCGGUUUGUUAAGUCAGAUGUGAAAUCCCCGGGCUCAACCUGGGAACUGCAUUUGAAACUGGCAAGCUAGAGUCUCGUAGAGGGGGGUAGAAUUCCAGGUGUAGCGGUGAAAUGCGUAGAGAUCUGGAGGAAUACCGGUGGCGAAGGCGGCCCCCUGGACGAAGACUGACGCUCAGGUGCGAAAGCGUGGGGAGCAAACAGGAUUAGAUACCCCUGGUAGUCCACGCUGUAAAACGAUGUCGAUUUUGGAGGUUGUGCCCUUGAGGCGUGGCUUCCGGAGCUAACGCGUUAAAUCGACCGCCUGGGGAGUACGGCCGCAAGG
This 549-nucleotide ribosomal RNA is filed under the name uncultured bacterium. RNAcentral describes it as "partial 16S ribosomal RNA". It matches the Rfam family "Bacterial small subunit ribosomal RNA", at positions 355 to 893 of the family's 1533-position model. The record is from RNAcentral.